UGGAUUAAUUCGAUGCAAACGCGAAAACCUUACUACCCUUGACAUGUCCGGAAUCCCGAAGAGAUUGGAGUGCUCGCAAGAGAACCGGAACACAGGUGCUGCAUGGCUGUCGUCAGCUCGUGUCGUGAGAUGUUGGGUUAAGUCCCGCAACGAGCGCAACCCUUGUCAUUAGUUGCCAUCAUUUGGUUGGGCACUCUAAUGAGACUGCCGGUGACAAACCGGAGGAAGGUGGGGAUGAUGUCAAGUCAGCAUGACCUUUAUAUCCAGGGCUACACACACGCUACAAUGGUCUGUACAAUGGGUAGCCAAGCCGCGAGGCGGAGCCAAUCCUGAAAGCAGGCCUCAGUUCAGAUUGCAGUCUGCAACUCGACUGCAUGAAGCCGGAGUUGCUAGUAACCGCAGGUCAGCAAUACUGCGGUGAAUACGUUCCCGGGUCUU
Molecule: ribosomal RNA, 438 nt
Filed under: uncultured Zoogloea sp.
Lineage: Bacteria; Pseudomonadati; Pseudomonadota; Betaproteobacteria; Rhodocyclales; Zoogloeaceae
Description: bacterial SSU rRNA
Rfam family: Bacterial small subunit ribosomal RNA
Source: RNAcentral